AGUGAACGCUGGCGGUAGGCCUAACACAUGCAAGUCGAACGAUUGGCGUACGGGUGAGGAAUACAUCUGAAUCUACUCUGUCGUGGGGGAUAACGUAGGGAAACUUACGCUAAUACCGCAUACGAUUUAAUGAGCCGAUGUAGGUUUGGCUAGUUGGCGGGUUAAAGGCCCACCAAGGCGACGAUCCGUAGCUGGUCUAAGAGGAUGAUCAGCCACACUGGAACUGAGACACGGUCCAGACUCCUACGGGAGGCAGCAGUGGGGAAUAUUGGACAAUGGGCGCAAGCCUGGUCCAGCCAUACCGCGUGGGUGAAGAAGGCCUUCGGGUUGUAAAGCCCUUUUGUUGGGAAAGCGGUACCCAAAGAAUAAGCACCGGCUAACUUCGUGCCAGCCGCCGCGGUAAUUC
Molecule: ribosomal RNA, 406 nt
Filed under: uncultured bacterium
Lineage: Bacteria
Description: partial 16S ribosomal RNA
Rfam family: Bacterial small subunit ribosomal RNA
Source: RNAcentral